AUUGUUAUGCUCAUUUAACUAUUAUGUUAUUUGAUGUGAAUAAACUAUGUAAACCUUUUUAGAUUCCAAAGGUACGUAUGUAAGUUAAGGUUGUUACCUGGGGUUAUGUUGUAAGAGCUUAUUGUAUGGACAAAUUAAGUUUAUAAUUCCGCAUUAGUUUAUAGAAUAUGUAUGAAGAUAAUGUAUCGUGAUGCACCAGUUCUGAGGUUCAAAAGACCCGGAUUUGGGGGCGCU
Molecule: long non-coding RNA, 234 nt
Filed under: Panax ginseng (ginseng)
Lineage: Eukaryota; Viridiplantae; Streptophyta; Magnoliopsida; Apiales; Araliaceae
Description: long non-coding RNA (PGIN_LNC012088)
Source: RNAcentral